GAUGAACGCUGGCGGCGUGCCUAAUACAUGCAAGUCGAGCGAACAGACGAGGAGCUUGCUCCUCUGACGUUAGCGGCGGACGGGUGAGUAACACGUGGAUAACCUACCUAUAAGACUGGGAUAACUUCGGGAAACCGGAGCUAAUACCGGAUAAUAUAUUGAACCGCAUGGUUCAAUAGUGAAAGACGGUUUUGCUGUCACUUAUAGAUGGAUCCGCGCCGCAUUAGCUAGUUGGUAAGGUAACGGCUUACCAAGGCAACGAUGCGUAGCCGACCUGAGAGGGUGAUCGGCCACACUGGAACUGAGACACGGUCCAGACUCCUACGGGAGGCAGCAGUAGGGAAUCUUCCGCAAUGGGCGAAAGCCUGACGGAGCAACGCCGCGUGAGUGAUGAAGGUCUUCGGAUCGUAAAACUCUGUUAUUAGGGAAGAACAAAUGUGUAAGUAACUAUGCACGUCUUGACGGUACCUAAUCAGAAAGCCUCGGCUAACUACGU
This 496-nucleotide ribosomal RNA is filed under the name uncultured bacterium. RNAcentral describes it as "partial 16S ribosomal RNA". It matches the Rfam family "Bacterial small subunit ribosomal RNA", at positions 28 to 506 of the family's 1533-position model. The record is from RNAcentral.